This 461-nucleotide ribosomal RNA is filed under the name uncultured bacterium. RNAcentral's name for it is "bacterial SSU rRNA". It matches the Rfam family "Bacterial small subunit ribosomal RNA", at positions 340 to 793 of the family's 1533-position model. The record is from RNAcentral.
UACGGGAGGCAGCAGUGGGGAAUAUUGCACAAUGGGGGAAACCCUGAUGCAGCCAUGCCGCGUGUGUGAAGAAGGCCUUCGGGUUGUAAAGCACUUUCAGUAGGGAGGAAGGUAGUGUAGUUAACACCUGCAUUAUUUGACGUUACCUACAGAAGAAGCACCGGCUAACUCCGUGCCAGCAGCCGCGGUAAUACGGAGGGUGCGAGCGUUAAUCGGAAUUACUGGGCGUAAAGCGCAUGCAGGCGGCCUGUUAAGUCAGAUGUGAAAGCCCCGGGGCUUAACCUCGGAAUUGCAUUUGAAACUGGCAGGCUAGAGUCUUGUAGAGGGGGUAGAAUUUCAGGUGUAGCGGUGAAAUGCGUAGAGAUCUGAAGGAAUACCAGUGGCGAAGGCGGCCCCCUGGACAAAGACUGACGCUCAGAUGCGAAAGCGUGGGGAGCAAACAGGAUUAGAUACCCUGGUAG